GUACACGCUGUGACUAGCAUAUCAAUAAGCGGAGGAAAAGAAACUAACAAGGAUUCCCCUAGUAACGGCGAGUGAAGCGGGAAGAGCUCAAAUUUGAAAUCUUAAAGGGUUUCCCUUUACGAAUUGUAGUUUAAAGAAGUGUUUUCUGUUGAGGUUUUGGUAAAAGUUCUUUGGAAUAGGACAUCAUAGAGGGUGAGAAUCCCGUAUUUGACCUUUACUUUCAACUUUGUGAUACACUUUCAAAGAGUCGGAUUGUUUGGGAAUGCAGGUCCAAAAUGGGUGGUAAAUUUCAUCUAAAGCUAAAUAUUGGCGAGAGACCGAUAGCGAACAAGUACCGUGAGGGAAAGAUGAAAAGAACUUUGAAGAGAGAGUUAAACAGUACGUGAAAUUGUCAAAAGGGAAGCGUUUGACACCAGUGUUGUUUUUCUGAAAAUCAAUUAAAGAACUGUUUAUGCUAAGUUGUUUAGACUUUAUCAGCUAUCUGUUUAGUUUUGAGCUUUUCUUUAAUGCACUUUUCAGUUAACAAGUCAACAUCAAUUUCUUUUGCUGUAAAAAAGCUUGAGGAAGGUGGCUUGAGAUUCGUCUUAAGUGUUUAUAGCCUCUUGCCUAUGCAGUCGGAGAGAUUGAGGUCUGCAGCGUAGAUCCUUCGGGGCUAAAUGCAUUUGUGCUAAGUUAUAGCAUUUUAUAGACAACUUGUUGACUAUGAUUUGUCUUGUAGCUUACUCGCUUAUGUUAUUUUACCUACGCUUAGGAUGUUGAAGAUGUAGCACAUCAU
RNAcentral lists this ribosomal RNA (775 nucleotides) under uncultured Neocallimastigales. RNAcentral describes it as "partial large subunit ribosomal RNA". It matches the Rfam family "Eukaryotic large subunit ribosomal RNA", at positions 22 to 635 of the family's 3401-position model. Lineage: Eukaryota; Fungi; Neocallimastigomycota; Neocallimastigomycetes; Neocallimastigales. The record is from RNAcentral.